AAAAACACUUUUGCAAAAUAUGGGAUAUGGCCCAUUAGUUAUGUUGGUAAAUAAGGCAUUGCCACAAAAAAUGUUUGGGGCACCUUUGAAUUCAUUUGAAAUCCACAUAAUUAAAAGGCAUUUAAUUAAAUAAUUUGGACUCUAUUUUAAUUAUUUUUGAGGCACCAAAACACUUUGUAAAAUAUUGGUUAUGAUUUUAUAAGAGCCUAGG
Molecule: long non-coding RNA, 211 nt
Filed under: Hordeum vulgare
Lineage: Eukaryota; Viridiplantae; Streptophyta; Magnoliopsida; Poales; Poaceae
Description: long non-coding RNA (HVUL_LNC003168)
Source: RNAcentral